Pocillopora verrucosa is the source of this 285-nucleotide non-coding RNA. The record is from RefSeq and is a predicted model, not a curated record. NCBI's taxonomy places the organism in Eukaryota, Metazoa, Cnidaria, Anthozoa, Scleractinia, Pocilloporidae.
CCAGUUUCUGGAUAAAUUUCGAGUCGCGGUCUCGCAGUUCGUUCAGUAAUCAUUAAGAUAAUCAGUUUGUGCGUCUGCCAUCAAGAUAUUUCUCGCUCUAACUUGAAUUUCGAGGAAGCGAGCACGAGCCGAACGUGGUCCAACCAGAAACGCGCAAGGCGUGGAGGGACUUGGCUACACAGCAGUGGUUACGAGGAGUUGAGCGAGCACGAGCCGAGCGUGGGUCGAACCAGAAACGUGCGAAGCGUGGAAGGACUUAGCUACAUAGCAGUGCUUACAGGGAGU